CAAUAGCGUAUAUUAAAGUUGUUGCAGUUAAAAAGCUCGUAGUUGAAUUUUUGCUUGCCGCCGAUGUCGGAACUUCCGUACGUUCGGCGGCGUGCAUCCUUGGGUGGAACCUGUGUGGCAUUAGGUUGUCGUGCAGGGGAUGCUCAUCGUUUACUGUGAAAAAAUUAGAGUGUUCAGAGCAGGCUUACGCCGUUGAAUAUAUUAGCAUGGAAUAAUAAGAUAGGACCUUGGUACUAUUUUGUUGGUUUGCGCACCGAGGUAAUGAUUAACAGGGACAGUUGGGGGUAUUCGUAUUCCAUUGUCAGAGGUGAAAUUCUUGGAUCUCUGGAAGACGAACUACUGCGAAAGCAUUUACCAAGGAUGUUUUCAUUAA
This 373-nucleotide ribosomal RNA is filed under the name uncultured eukaryote. Its description in RNAcentral is "partial 18S ribosomal RNA". It matches the Rfam family "Eukaryotic small subunit ribosomal RNA", at positions 592 to 976 of the family's 1831-position model. The record is from RNAcentral.